CCCUUAGAUGUUCUGGGCUGCACGCGCGCUACACUGAAGCUAUCAACACGUUUUCCCUCCCUGAGAAGGGCGGGUAACCUUUUGAAUCAGCUUCGUGGUAGGGAUCGGGGCUUGCAAUUGUUCCCCGUGAACCAGGAAUUCCUAGUAGACGCGAGUCAUAAGCUCGCAUCGAUUAAGUCCCUGCCCUUUGUACACACCGCCCGUCGCUACUAUCGAUUGAACGUUUUAGUGAGGCAUUUGGACCGACGCAUCUCAGUUUAACCGCUGGUUUGUGUUGGAAAGACUUCCAAACUUGAGCGUUUAGAGGAAGUAAAAGUCGUAACA
RNAcentral lists this ribosomal RNA (324 nucleotides) under uncultured eukaryote. Its description in RNAcentral is "partial 18S ribosomal RNA". It matches the Rfam family "Eukaryotic small subunit ribosomal RNA", at positions 1470 to 1796 of the family's 1831-position model. The record is from RNAcentral.